GAUAGUAGAGAUAAAUGACAACCUGACUGGGAUCAAAAGGAUUACAGACCUCUGACAAUAAACGGUCCUGACAGGUGAUCUGAUUAACCAAACUGCACAUAUGGGUCAGCUGAGGACAUUUGCUUUUCAAAGACACAAGAUGUAUUGAUUUCAGUGAGUUUGGUAGAUGAUCCAGGUAACAUUGGAGCUUAUGGUGGGUAAGGAAUUCUUCUUGGUUGGAAUGGGUUGUUACUCGUGCUGCUGUUGCUUUUCUAUUAUCUCAAAUUGACAUGCUCGCCUCUGACAAAGUGUUUUUGUUUCUAUACCAACACCUACAAGAUACGUUCUCCUGUAUUUCCCUGGAUUUUCUGUAAACAUGAGAGAUGCAUGUGCUAACUUCUACUGUGGAGAAGUUGGCUGUCACAGCUGCUGCUGAGCUGUGACCACUCACACCUGAUCAUCAUUACCCUGAUCCCCAGCUGCUGCCAUAUAAGGACAGAUCCUUCCCCUGCACGGCGUCAGAUUGUUGUGAAACCCUCAGCGUUGCCUCUCCUGUCCCCGAUCCUGACCCUCUCCACUGGAUUUGGACCUCCUGACUUUGACCCCCUGUCUGUCUGACCCUGAGAUCAGGAACUGCCUGACCCCGAUUUGGAUUCCCUGGUUCUGACCCUGGCCUGUCUGACUAAGAAUAAGUUUAUUUCCUAAUAAACACCUGUUUUUUUAUUCAC
This is a long non-coding RNA of Poecilia latipinna (sailfin molly), 707 nucleotides long. RefSeq lists it as uncharacterized. NCBI's taxonomy places the organism in Eukaryota, Metazoa, Chordata, Actinopteri, Cyprinodontiformes, Poeciliidae. The record is from RefSeq and is a predicted model, not a curated record. The transcript is spliced from 2 exons.